Molecule: non-coding RNA, 103 nt
Filed under: Shouchella lehensis G1
Lineage: Bacteria; Bacillati; Bacillota; Bacilli; Caryophanales; Bacillaceae
Description: Bacillus lehensis G1 SAM riboswitch aptamer (S box leader)
Rfam family: SAM riboswitch aptamer (S box leader)
About the family: The SAM riboswitch is found upstream of a number of genes which code for proteins involved in methionine or cysteine biosynthesis in Gram-positive bacteria.
Source: Rfam by way of RNAcentral
UCUUUAUAUUGAGAAGUGGAGGGACUGGCCCGACGAAGCUUCAGCAACCUUUCUUUUAGGAAAAGGUGCUAAUUCCAGCAAAGGAAACUUUGGAAGAUAAGGG